AAAAGAAACCAAUCGACAACACAAGGCGCCAAGAAAGCGCAAGAGGGCAAAAGCCCUUCAAGAAAAGAGCAAAAUUUCAAACUUUGAGAAGAGGACACGGGCUUAAAGGAUCUAAGGGGUUUCUCUUUGGUGUCAUGCAGAGAGAGAGAGAGAGAGAGAGAGCAACGAGACCGGAACAAGAACGUCGAGGAAGCAGCAAAAAGCUGUGUCCUUUCUGGGGGAAGCCGAGCGGAAAGGGUAGAUUUUU
Molecule: long non-coding RNA, 247 nt
Filed under: Eucalyptus grandis
Lineage: Eukaryota; Viridiplantae; Streptophyta; Magnoliopsida; Myrtales; Myrtaceae
Description: long non-coding RNA (EGRA_LNC000465)
Source: RNAcentral